Molecule: ribosomal RNA, 258 nt
Filed under: uncultured bacterium
Lineage: Bacteria
Description: partial 16S ribosomal RNA
Rfam family: Bacterial small subunit ribosomal RNA
Source: RNAcentral
UACGUAGGAGACGAGCGUUGUCCGGAGUUACUGGGCGUAAAGGGUGCGCAGGUGGCGGCGCGCGUGGGGGGUGAAAUCGCCCGGCUUAACUGGGCGGGGGCCUUCCAGACGGCGUGGCUUGAGCAGCGGAGGGGGACGUGGAAUUCCGGGUGGAGCGGUGAAAUGCGUAGAGAUCCGGAGGAGCGCAGACGGCGUAGGCAGCGCCCUGGCUGUGAAUAAAGCUGACACUGAGGCACGAAAGCUGGGGGAGCAAACAGG